RNAcentral lists this ribosomal RNA (155 nucleotides) under uncultured Flavobacterium sp. RNAcentral's name for it is "partial 16S ribosomal RNA". The record is from RNAcentral. Lineage: Bacteria; Pseudomonadati; Bacteroidota; Flavobacteriia; Flavobacteriales; Flavobacteriaceae.
CACGGAGUUAGCCGAUCCUUAUUCUUACGAUACCGUCAAGCUCCUUCACGAAGGAGUGUUUCUUCUCGUAUAAAAGCAGUUUACAAUCCAUAGGACCGUCAUCCUGCACGCGGCAUGGCUGGAUCAGGCUUGCGCCCAUUGUCCAAUAUUCCCCA